This 1851-nucleotide long non-coding RNA is filed under the name Vigna radiata. RNAcentral's name for it is "long non-coding RNA (VRAD_LNC007575)". The record is from RNAcentral. Lineage: Eukaryota; Viridiplantae; Streptophyta; Magnoliopsida; Fabales; Fabaceae.
GGCACCUGCUCCAGUGUUCGCAUGUUCACCGUAAUAUAGAGUGCUCAGUGCAAAGUUUCCGCUCCACUCAGACCAACCUGUAGAAACAACACCAGUUUCACUCCAACCGUAAGUACGUAAAUAUAAUCCAGUUAUAACAGUUACUCAUGUUAUAUUUUUUUUUCUAUUUUUAGAUAUUAGUUUCAGAAAUCUUUAUUUUUAUUUAUUUUAAUUACAAAAAAUUAUACAAAUUUUUAUUAUUUUUAUUUAAAUAUUAAAUAUUAUUUUAAAAUCUUAAAAUUGAUUUUAAAAUUAAACAGGUCUAAAAUGUGUAAGUUGUCAAAUAAAUAAUAAUUAUACCCGUUCAAUAUGAUAAAAGUUAUUUUUAGGGUAAGUUUAGUUUUUCUUAUCUUUUAAUUAUUUCUUUCUCUUUUUCUCUCUGUCCCCAGACACCACCAAAGGGCACGCAGACUCCUGUAGAGAGUUAUUAUAUAUCCUUUUGAACAUCCCCAUCUUGCUAAGAAGAGUGUGAAUAGUUAUAUAUUUUAUUAAUUCUUGUUAUUUUUCUCUCUUUUUAUUCUAUUGUAUCAUACCUAAAUUAUUUUUAUAUAUACGUUCUCUUACUUUGCUGUGUACACCUAAAAUCAUUUUAUAACUCCAUUUUUUUAAUUAAAAAUACUUAGAGAACUUCCUUUUCACUUAAAACUUAUUGUCAUACACUUUUACCAUAAAAAAAUUCUCUCUUACCAAUUAUCAAGUGGUAGCAAGGAGUCAAAACAUAAUUAUUAGUGUCCACUAUAGUUUUUUUUUUUUUUCCCUUCUAGCAAUUGUACUUGCAUGAUGAAGAAAGAUAAAGAGUCCCACUUUAACCCUAGUCUUUCUCUCUCAUCGUACGGUCUAUCAUCGGAGAAUAUGAAAGUUUCUAACUUGACCGUCUAAUCUAAUUUGUGCAAAAGAAAGUAAUAAAGGACACGGGAUGUGGGCCUUACCCAACGAGUAACCCUUAUCUCAUGUCUCUCUCUAUUGUUUAGAUUUUUCUAUCUUAUAUCAAAGUAAAAAUAAACCUAAAUAACUCUAUCAAAUGAUAUGAGUAAACCAUCUUUAAAAAGAUAAGGAAAUUGUUAUAUAGAGUUUUGUAACUUCAUUUUUACUUGAGAUAUAACCCUUAUGUAUUAUGGAAUAUUGAUGCAGUUAUAGAGUAUGAAGAAAAAUGGUGAACCUGCGGGGUUAAUCAAGCCAUCAAGGGCACUCUUCAUGAUCACAGUCCUUGAGUACUUUUGCCAGGGGCGACCCAGAUAGGUUUUAAAAGAGCCCUGCACCGCUUUCAGGUCCCCAGCUGCGGUGAUGAGACAGUUAUGGAUGAUGAUGCCUGUGUUCUCAUUAGGGUCGGUUCUUCCUUGUGCUGUAACCGUGUUCUGCUGGUUGCUCAUCGGCUUCCUCACGUAGAUGUUGCAGUUUUGAAGCACCGACACGGCGUCACCGAAAAUGAAGUCUAAGGUUCCGUAUAUGUCACAGUCACGGUAGAAUUGGCGGUUGGCGUACACGUAUAAGGUGUCUUGGUACCCCUUAAAGCUGCACCGAUAAAAUACCGAGUGGUCGGAUCCGGAACGGAGAGCCACCGCUUGGUGCUUUUGCGGUCCGGCGGUAUUUUCGAAGGUGAUGUCCCGAGCAAUGAAGCCGUCUCCAGAAACCGCUGCAAUAAUCAUCAACGGUUUUAACUUUUUACUAGUGAGUACGCAUAAAAGUUAAAGAUGCAAAAUAAAAUAAAAAAAAAGCUUUUUAUUUUCUUUUGUCUUUAUCAUGGAGAGAUAUUUUCACCGAGUUAAAGUGAAAAUAUUUUUGUUUGUGUCACUUUUGAAAUAAUAAUAAUAA